This 206-nucleotide microRNA precursor is filed under the name Oryza sativa Indica Group (long-grained rice). RNAcentral describes it as "MIR812 microRNA precursor family". It matches the Rfam family "MIR812 microRNA precursor family". The record is from Rfam by way of RNAcentral. Lineage: Eukaryota; Viridiplantae; Streptophyta; Magnoliopsida; Poales; Poaceae.
AAAAACUCAAUUCCUGGAUUUCCGUGUCUAACGUUUGACCGUUUGUCUUAUUUAAAAAAAUAUGAAAAAAUUUAAAAAGAUAAGUCAUACAUAAAGUAUUAUUCGUGCUUUAUCAUCUAACAAUAAUAAAAAUAUUAAUCAUAAAAUAAUUUUAUAUAAAAUGGACGGUUAAACGUUGAGCAUGGAAACCAAACAAUUCAGUUUUU